GACUCGGUUGGGCGGUCCGCUUAACGGCGUGUACUGUCUGACUGGGCCUUACCUCUUGGUGAGCCAGUGUGCCCUUUAUUGGUGUGCAUUGGGGAACCAGGACUUUUACUUUGAAAAAAUUAGAGUGUUUAAAGCAAGCGUACGCUUGAAUACAUUAGCAUGGAAUAAUGAAAUAGGGCU
Molecule: ribosomal RNA, 180 nt
Filed under: uncultured Glomeromycotina
Lineage: Eukaryota; Fungi; Glomeromycota
Description: partial small subunit ribosomal RNA
Source: RNAcentral